AAGCUCCUUGAGCACAAAUAUACGUCAGAUUCAUCAUUAAAUUCAUCAUAAUUCCAGGACCAAAAGCUCAAAUUGGACAAUUUGCAGUCCCCAAAAGAAAAUAUUCAUUAAAUGAUUGAGGUGUAUCUGGUACUGUGCCUAUGCUGGCAUGAUACACUGAACAACAUAAAUACUCAUCCCAGCUCUAAUGGACAUUUCACCAGAGAGAAAGUCAAGAAAAUAAUUACCUCCGUGAUGAUUAUCCUGCAGGAGAGACUUCAGAUAAUAUGAAGGUGAGGAACUGGAGUAAACAUCUCCAUCUACCGCAUCUUGCAUGUUGAACUUAACAAGCUAAAGGUUUGAGGGAUCACUUUGAGAUGCUGGAAGUCCCAGAAUAUUCCUUC
Homo sapiens (human) is the source of this 383-nucleotide long non-coding RNA. RefSeq lists it as uncharacterized. NCBI's taxonomy places the organism in Eukaryota, Metazoa, Chordata, Mammalia, Primates, Hominidae. The transcript has 3 exons. The record is from RefSeq and is a predicted model, not a curated record.